RNAcentral lists this unclassified non-coding RNA (212 nucleotides) under Hevea brasiliensis (rubber tree). Lineage: Eukaryota; Viridiplantae; Streptophyta; Magnoliopsida; Malpighiales; Euphorbiaceae. The record is from RNAcentral.
GUUCAAUCUCUUUUUCACUCCUGAAUCGCGGAUUCUAAUCUAGAAGGGCGUCGUCACCGGUUCUCCUAUGAGUAUCACUUGUCAGGAUAUGGCAGAUAAGACGACGCCGUUAAAAGUGACACCGUCGCUACAAAGACAAAAACUCGAAAACUCCCGAGACCACGUGGUCAAAUAGGAUCGAAGAACCUAAUCCAGAACCGAAAUCGCAGGGG